RNAcentral lists this unclassified non-coding RNA (391 nucleotides) under soil metagenome. Its description in RNAcentral is "partial contains 5.8S ribosomal RNA, internal transcribed spacer 2, and large subunit ribosomal RNA". The stretch from base 1 to 122 matches the Rfam family "5.8S ribosomal RNA", at positions 35 to 154 of the family's 154-position model. The record is from RNAcentral.
GAUGAAGAACGUAGCGAAAUGCGAUACUUGGUGUGAAUUGCAGAAUCCCGUGAACCAUCGAGUCUUUGAACGCAAGUUGCGCCCGAAGCCAUUAGGCCGAGGGCACGCCUGCCUGGGCGUCACACGUCGUUGCCCCCCCAUCUACUCCUUCGGGAUUGCGGGGGGCGGAUGAUGGCCUCCCGUGCGCCUCGUCGCGCGGUUGGCAUAAAUGCCAAGUCCUCGGCGACGCACGCCACGACAAUCGGUGGUUGCGAAACCUCGGUUGCCCGUCGCGUGCGGUCGUCGCGCAUCGAGGGCUCGAAAAAAUUGCCGGGCUCCGGCUCGGCUUUCAACGCGACCCCAGGUCAGGCGGGGUUACCCGCUGAAUUUAAGCAUAUCAAUAAGCGGAGGA